Molecule: ribosomal RNA, 440 nt
Filed under: uncultured bacterium
Lineage: Bacteria
Description: partial 16S ribosomal RNA
Rfam family: Bacterial small subunit ribosomal RNA
Source: RNAcentral
CCUACGGGGCGCAGCAGUGGGGAAUAUUGCACAAUGGGGGAAACCCUGAUGCAGCGACGCCGCGUGAGUGAAGAAGUAUUUCGGUACGUAAAGCUCUAUCAGCAGGGAAGAAAAUGACGGUACCUGACUAAGAAGCCCCGGCUAACUACGUGCCAGCAGCCGCGGUAAUACGUAGGGGGCAAGCGUUAUCCGGAUUUACUGGGUGUAAAGGGAGCGUAGACGGCAGCGCAAGUCUGGAGUGAAAUCCCAUGGCUUAACCAGGGAACUGCUUUGGAAACUGUGCAGCUAGAGUGCAGGAGAGGUAAGCGGAAUUCCUAGUGUAGCGGUGAAAUGCGUAGAUAUUAGGAGGAACACCAGUGGCGAAGGCGGCUUACUGGACUGUAACUGACGUUGAGGCUCGAAAGCGUGGGGAGCAAACAGGAUUAGAUACCCUUGUAGUC